RNA transcript from Dunckerocampus dactyliophorus (ringed pipefish), 3536 nucleotides. It is a transcript of the gene named helicase, POLQ like, with no coding region annotated. The record is from RefSeq and is a predicted model, not a curated record. The transcript has 18 exons. Lineage: Eukaryota; Metazoa; Chordata; Actinopteri; Syngnathiformes; Syngnathidae.
CCGGGUAGAGCGCCGUGGUAAAGAAGCUGUUGGUUCCGAAAUGCGAAUGCUAACAAGCUAGGGACAACAUGUAGCGACGCUCAAGUACAAUCCUCUAUCUAAGUUAUUUAUCUACACAUUAAACAGUAAUUAGCGCAAAUUAGCAUGUGUAUAUUUAAGAUGUUAAUCAUGAGUCGUCUCAAGAAGAAAAGGGCAACGUCACGUGACUGACAUUCAGGCGCGGGAGUGGGUUUCUCGCUGGUAACAGCUUGGCAAGUUUCAAACCUUUGAGAUUUUUUUUAUUAUUAUUUCUUUUUUCGUUAAGACUUCGUCCGUGUUGUGUGUAUUUUAGCUCCAUUCCUGAUUCAUUUUGAAGUUGCGUGGCUGCUAAAGCGGUGUUGCUAACGACCACAACAAGUUGACGAUGGGUCAGGAAAGAAGUUGACAAGGCAAAGUAGCCUCGAUGAAGUGUGCUAUGUAGACUGUUACUGCACGCAGCUCCUCGGCUUUAUUUGUUAGCAGCGUUAGCUUGCUUCGGUUGUAGCAUGGGGCUGACAAGGCGAAAUUGAAAGGAGGAAGAUAAAGUCCUCUUCGUCAUUAUGGAUCACAAGCAGCAUGUGGAGCACUGCAGCGACAGUGAGGACUUUUUUGGGGACUAUGACAGUCUCCUGGAGGACCCGUCCCUGCUGGCCAAACUGGAGAAGGUGGAGUGCGCUGAAAGUGACAAGAUGGCGUCUGUGCCACCUGCAAAGGACAAGGACCUCUUCACUGACUCCAUCUUGGACGGUCUUGAUGAGGACCUCCUCCAGGAGUCCUUGCCGUCCAGCCAGCAGGAGUUUGUCCAACAAGAAGCCAAGAGGAGCAAAGUGCACGGCGGAGACGCAAGCGGCGUCUUCCAGAGUGGAGGACGAGAGGACCAGAAGAGGAGGAGUGUGAGCGAGCGCCUGAAGAGGACCAUGCGGUGCAAUGCUGCCGCGCCCGCCAGCCUUUCCCGCUCCUUGGCGCUGAAGGAGGCGGUGCUUAGCGAUGAGAUCAGCGAUGCCGUGCACGCCAUGGAGGUUGUCUCCGCCCACACCACCGAUCUGGGACCUUUUUUUGGACUCCCCACCAAAGUGAAAGACCUCCUCUCCAAACUGAGGGGAAUCAACAGCCUCUAUGCGUGGCAGGAGACGUGCUUGACGUUGGAGUGCGUGCAGCAGAGGAGGAACCUGAUCUACACCCUGCCCACCAGCGGAGGCAAAACGCUGGUGGCGGAGCUGCUCAUCCUCAGAGAAGUAGUGUGCAGGAAGAAGGACUGCAUGUUCAUCCUGCCUUACGUCUCUCUGGUCCAAGAGAAGGUUCGCGGUCUGGCUGCUUUUGGUCUGGAGCUGGACUUCCUGGUGGAGGAGUACGCCGGCAGUAAGGGCAAGUUCCCGCCUGUCAAGAGGAGAGGAGGUCAAAGGUCGCUGUACAUCGCAACCAUUGAGAAAGCUCACAGCCUCGUCAAUGGGCUCAUCGAAAGCGGCCGCUUGGACUGCGUGGGCCUGCUGGUGGUGGAUGAGCUUCACAUGCUGGGAGACGGCAGCAGAGGAGCACUCCUGGAGAUCACCCUCGCCAAAGUCUCCUACCUCAGCCGCCACACCCAGAUCAUCGGCAUGAGCGCCACCUUGGGGAACAUCAGCGAGCUGCAAACCUUUCUCAACGCUGAAAACUACAAUGAUGACUUCAGACCCGUCCAGCUGAGGGAGUAUGUGAAAGUGGGAGAUGGUAUCUAUGAGGUGGACCCCAAAGAGGACGAUGGCUUUCGAUUGUGUCGUCGUGUCGCGGUGAAGUACUCCAGCGCCAUGCAGAAGGCGGACCCAGACCACAUCGUGGCCCUGGUGACGGAGGUGAUUCCACGCCAUUCCUGCCUGCUCUUCUGUCCCACCAAGAAGAACUGUGAGAAUGUAGCCGUCAUGAUCUGCAAGUACCUCAGAGAGGACUUCCUCCGACAGCGGCAGGCCGAGAAGGAGGCGCUUCUCCGAGAGCUGAAGGACAGCGGGAACGGUUCCGUGUGUACGGUUCUGAGAAGGACGGUUCCGUACGGAGUGGCGUACCAUCACAGCGGACUGACCGGCGAGGAGAGGAAGCUCCUGGAGGACGCCUACUCGGACGGCGUCCUUUGUCUGCUCACCUGCACCUCCACCUUGGCGGCCGGAAUCAACCUGCCGGCCCGCAGGGUGAUACUGCGCUCGCCACACGUGGCCGGCGACCUGAUGAAGACCAGCCAGUACAAGCAGAUGGCGGGACGCGCCGGACGAGCAGGUCUGGACCGCGAGGGCGAGAGCAUCCUCAUCGUGCAGGACAAGGAGCGCUUCAAGGCCAGGGCGCUGGUGUGUGCCCCCGUGGAGAAAUGUCACAGCUGCCUGCUGGCCGACGACCGAAAAAGUCUCCUCAAUCUCAUCCUGUCACUCGUGGGCCUAAAAGUGAGCACAGGCGUGGAAGAGCUGCAGGAGUUCCUGCGAGGGACGCUGCUGUUUGUUCAACAGGAGCAGUUGUGUGGACAGGCCAGUCUGGACGCCGUCCUCCAGCAGGGUGUCCAACUCCUUCAGGUCAAAGGUCUCCUCCACACGCAGGGUGAUGUCUUGCACGUCACACGUUUGGGGAGGGCCACCUUUAAAGGUUCCGUGGACCUCAGCCACAGCCAAGUUCUCUACCAGGACCUGAGCAACGGCCUAGAAGGUCUGCUCCUCAGCAGCUACCUGCACCUGGUCUUCCUGGUCACGCCCUACGACAUGACGCUGCAGUGUGUGCCCGACUGGAUGACCUUCUACGCCCAGAUGGCGUCGUUGUCGGCUGCUGAACAGAGGAUGUGUGCGCUCGUCGGCGUUCCUGAGAGUCUGGUGGCGAGGAAAGCUGCGGGACAGGCGGUGAAAAAGAGUGCCAACAUGGCGGCAGUGAAGCGCAUGUACCUGGCGCUGGUGCUCAUGGCGCUGCUGAGGGAGAAUGACCUGUGGGGCGUGGCACACAAGUUCCAGCUGAGUCGUGGCUUCGUCCAAUCACUGCUCAGUUCCGCUGCCGCCUUCUGCUCGUGUGUGUUCCACUUCACUCAGGAGUUGGAUGAGCUGUGGCCGUUCUGCUCGUUGUUUGAGGCGCUAACGAGGCGUCUGAGCUACUGUGUGAGGGCGGAGCUUAUCCCUCUGAUGGAGGUGGUGGGAGUCAUGGAGGUCAGAAUCGUGCCCGCCUGCCGCAUCGCCUUUUACAUGUCUUUCAUUCUGUGUGUGUGUGUGUGUGUUCGCGUGCCAAGCAACUGCACGCCGCUGGUUACAAGACGUUGACCCACCUGGCCAACGCUGACCCCGCCCUCCUGGUCAGGACCAUUGUGCACUUGAACAGGAAGCAAGCCAAUCAGAUGGUGGCCUCGGCCAAAAUGCUUCUCAACAAGAAGGCGGCGGCGCUGCAACAGGAAGUAGACGAGCUGCUCACACCACCGGCUGACCUGCCGCCGCCUCCGAGGCUGGACGAGCGUUGACCUGUCACCACGUCACAACUUCACCAUGUCAUUCAAUCUCAGUACAAUAAAAGCUUUUAUUUAGCAA